RNAcentral lists this ribosomal RNA (154 nucleotides) under Chlorencoelia sp. TKPB-2018. Its description in RNAcentral is "5.8S ribosomal RNA". It matches the Rfam family "5.8S ribosomal RNA". Rfam says of the family: 5.8S ribosomal RNA (5.8S rRNA) is a component of the large subunit of the eukaryotic ribosome. It is transcribed by RNA polymerase I as part of the 45S precursor that also contains 18S and 28S rRNA. Functionally, it is thought that 5.8S rRNA may be involved in ribosome translocation. The record is from RNAcentral. Lineage: Eukaryota; Fungi; Ascomycota; Leotiomycetes; Helotiales; Cenangiaceae.
AACUUUCAACAACGGAUCUCUUGGCUCUGGCAUCGAUGAAGAACGCAGCGAAAUGCGAUAAGUAAUGUGAAUUGCAGAAUCUAGUGAAUCAUCGAAUCUUUGAACGCACAUUGCGCCCCUUGGUAUUCCGGGGGGCAUGCCUGUUCGAGCGUCA